This 2083-nucleotide ribosomal RNA is filed under the name Escherichia coli. RNAcentral describes it as "partial 23S ribosomal RNA". It matches the Rfam family "Bacterial large subunit ribosomal RNA", at positions 609 to 2676 of the family's 2925-position model. The record is from RNAcentral. Lineage: Bacteria; Pseudomonadati; Pseudomonadota; Gammaproteobacteria; Enterobacterales; Enterobacteriaceae.
UGUAUAAUGGGUCAGCGACUUAUAUUCUGUAGCAAGGUUAACCGAAUAGGGGAGCCGAAGGGAAACCGAGUCUUAACUGGGCGUUAAGUUGCAGGGUAUAGACCCGAAACCCGGUGAUCUAGCCAUGGGCAGGUUGAAGGUUGGGUAACACUAACUGGAGGACCGAACCGACUAAUGUUGAAAAAUUAGCGGAUGACUUGUGGCUGGGGGUGAAAGGCCAAUCAAACCGGGAGAUAGCUGGUUCUCCCCGAAAGCUAUUUAGGUAGCGCCUCGUGAAUUCAUCUCCGGGGGUAGAGCACUGUUUCGGCAAGGGGGUCAUCCCGACUUACCAACCCGAUGCAAACUGCGAAUACCGGAGAAUGUUAUCACGGGAGACACACGGCGGGUGCUAACGUCCGUCGUGAAGAGGGAAACAACCCAGACCGCCAGCUAAGGUCCCAAAGUCAUGGUUAAGUGGGAAACGAUGUGGGAAGGCCCAGACAGCCAGGAUGUUGGCUUAGAAGCAGCCAUCAUUUAAAGAAAGCGUAAUAGCUCACUGGUCGAGUCGGCCUGCGCGGAAGAUGUAACGGGGCUAAACCAUGCACCGAAGCUGCGGCAGCGACACUAUGUGUUGUUGGGUAGGGGAGCGUUCUGUAAGCCUGUGAAGGUGGCCUGUGAGGGUUGCUGGAGGUAUCAGAAGUGCGAAUGCUGACAUAAGUAACGAUAAAGCGGGUGAAAAGCCCGCUCGCCGGAAGACCAAGGGUUCCUGUCCAACGUUAAUCGGGGCAGGGUGAGUCGACCCCUAAGGCGAGGCCGAAAGGCGUAGUCGAUGGGAAACAGGUUAAUAUUCCUGUACUUGGUGUUACUGCGAAGGGGGGACGGAGAAGGCUAUGUUGGCCGGGCGACGGUUGUCCCGGUUUAAGCGUGUAGGCUGGUUUUCCAGGCAAAUCCGGAAAACCAAGGCUGAGGCGUGAUGACGAGGCACUACGGUGCUGAAGCGACAAAUGCCCUGCUUCCAGGAAAAGCCUCUAAGCAUCAGGUAACAUCAAAUCGUACCCCAAACCGACACAGGUGGUCAGGUAGAGAAUACCAAGGCGCUUGAGAGAACUCGGGUGAAGGAACUAGGCAAAAUGGUGCCGUAACUUCGGGAGAAGGCACGCUGAUAUGUAGGUGAAGCGACUUGCUCGUGGAGCUGAAAUCAGUCGAAGAUACCAGCUGGCUGCAACUGUUUAUUAAAAACACAGCACUGUGCAAACACGAAAGUGGACGUAUACGGUGUGACGCCUGCCCGGUGCCGGAAGGUUAAUUGAUGGGGUUAGCGGCAACGCGAAGCUCUUGAUCGAAGCCCCGGUAAACGGCGGCCGUAACUAUAACGGUCCUAAGGUAGCGAAAUUCCUUGUCGGGUAAGUUCCGACCUGCACGAAUGGCGUAAUGAUGGCCAGGCUGUCUCCACCCGAGACUCAGUGAAAUUGAACUCGCUGUGAAGAUGCAGUGUACCCGCGGCAAGACGGAAAGACCCCGUGAACCUUUACUAUAGCUUGACACUGAACAUUGAGCCUUGAUGUGUAGGAUAGGUGGGAGGCUUUGAAGUGUGGACGCCAGUCUGCAUGGAGCCGACCUUGAAAUACCACCCUUUAAUGUUUGAUGUUCUAACGUUGGCCCGUAAUCCGGGUUGCGGACAGUGUCUGGUGGGUAGUUUGACUGGGGCGGUCUCCUCCUAAAGAGUAACGGAGGAGCACGAAGGUUGGCUAAUCCUGGUCGGACAUCAGGAGGUUAGUGCAAUGGCAUAAGCCAGCUUGACUGCGAGCGUGACGGCGCGAGCAGGUGCGAAAGCAGGUCAUAGUGAUCCGGUGGUUCUGAAUGGAAGGGCCAUCGCUCAACGGAUAAAAGGUACUCCGGGGAUAACAGGCUGAUACCGCCCAAGAGUUCAUAUCGACGGCGGUGUUUGGCACCUCGAUGUCGGCUCAUCACAUCCUGGGGCUGAAGUAGGUCCCAAGGGUAUGGCUGUUCGCCAUUUAAAGUGGUACGCGAGCUGGGUUUAGAACGUCGUGAGACAGUUCGGUCCCUAUCUGCCGUGGGCGCUGGAGAACUGAGGGGGGCUGCU